Molecule: long non-coding RNA, 1143 nt
Filed under: Callithrix jacchus (white-tufted-ear marmoset)
Lineage: Eukaryota; Metazoa; Chordata; Mammalia; Primates; Cebidae
Description: lncRNA (ENSCJAG00000072991.1)
Source: RNAcentral
UAGAAAUUGCUUUAAAUAUGUCCCAGAGAUUCUGACACGUUGUGCCUUCGUUCUCAUUGGUUUUGAAGAACAUCUUUAUUUCUGCCUUUAUUUUAUUGUUUAUCCAGUUGUCCUUCAGGAGCAGUUAGUUCGGUUUCCAUGUAGUUGCACAGUUUUGAGUGCUUUUUAAAUCCUGAGUUCUAAUUUGAUUGCACUGUGGUCUGAGAGACUGAUUGUUAUGGUUUCUGUUCUUUUGCAUUUGCUGAGGAGUGAUUUACUUCCAAUUAUGUAGUCAAUUUUAGAAUAAGUGCAAUGUGGUGCUGAGAAGAAUGUAUAUUCUGUGGACUUGGGGUGGAGAGUUCUGUAGAUGUCUAUCAGGUCCAUUUGGUCCAGAUCUGCACUGAAGUAGUUUAUGUUUUUCUCUAAGCAGAUUAUUCUAAUUAGCAUUUUAUCUGACCUUUUUUCAAAGUUUUUAGUUUCUUUGCUUUGGGUUAGAACAUGUUCCUUUAGCUCAGAGAAGUUUGUUAUUACUCACCUUCUGAAGCCUACUUCUGUCAAUUCAUCAAAUUCAUUCUUUACCCUAUUUUGUUCUCUUGCUAGUGCGGAGUUGUGAUCCCUUGGAGAAGAGGCAUUCUGUUUUUUGGUGAUUUCACCCUUUGUAUGCUGUUUUUUUCCCAUCUUCAUGGAUAUAUCUACCUUUGGUCUUUGGAGUUGGUGAAUUUGAACGGGGUCUCUGAGUGUACAUUUUUUCUGUUGAUGUUGAAGCUUUUCUUCUUCUUCUUUUUUUUUUUUUUUUUAGUUUUCUUUCUAACAGAUCCCUCUGCUGUAGGACUGCUGGAGGUCCACUCAAGACCUUGCUUGCCUGGGAAUCACCUGUGGGGGCUGCAGAACAGCAAGGAUUACUGCCUGUUCUUUCCUCCAUUAGCUUUGUCCCAGAAGUGUACCUGCUGGAUGUCAGCCAGAGCUCUCCUGUAUGAGAGACAAGUUCCAAUUCUGUCACCCAUGCUGAACUGCAAUGGUACAAUCCUAGCUCACUGCAGCCUCGAACUUCAAGCUCAAGUGAUUCUCCAGGUAAAUAAAUAAUUUGGCAUAUAAAACAGUUAUAUUAAAGAAGGAAAACUGAACUAAUAGAGAAGAAGCAUAAAGGUAAAUGUUUAUAAAAAC